UGGGGGAUAUUGCACAAUGGGCGCAAGCCUGAUGCAGCGACGCCGCGUGGGGGAUGAAGGCCUUCGGGUUGUAAACUUCUUUUGCUCUGAACAAGGCGCACUUUGGGGUGUGUUGAGUGUAGGGGUUGAUUAGCGCCGGCUAACUACGUGCCAGCAGCCGCGGUAAUACGUAGGGCGCGAGCGUUGUCCGGAAUUAUUGGGCGUAAAGGGCUUGUAGGUGGCUGGUUGCGUCUGUCGUGAAAGCUCAUGGCUUAACUGUGGGUUUGCGGUGGGUACGGGCUGGCUUGAGUGCAGUAGGGGAGGCUGGAAUUCCUGUUGUAGCGGUGGAAUGCGCAGAUAUCAGGAGGAAUACCGGUGGCGAAGGCGGGUCUCUGGGCUGUUACUGACACUGAGGAGCGAAAGCAUGGGGAGCGAACAGG
RNAcentral lists this ribosomal RNA (419 nucleotides) under bacterium. RNAcentral's name for it is "partial 16S ribosomal RNA". It matches the Rfam family "Bacterial small subunit ribosomal RNA", at positions 355 to 776 of the family's 1533-position model. The record is from RNAcentral.